Molecule: ribosomal RNA, 492 nt
Filed under: uncultured bacterium
Lineage: Bacteria
Description: partial 16S ribosomal RNA
Rfam family: Bacterial small subunit ribosomal RNA
Source: RNAcentral
GAUGAACGCUAGCUACAGGCUUAACACAUGCAAGUCGAGGGGAAACGGCAUCGAAAGCUUGCUUUUGAUGGGCGUCGACCGGCGCACGGGUGAGUAACGCGUAUCCAACCUGCCCAUCACUUGGGAAUAACCUUGCGAAAGUAAGACUAAUGCCCAAUGACAUCCCACGAAGGCAUCCGAAUGGGAUUAAAGAUUUAUCGGUGAUGGAUGGGGACGCGUCUGAUUAGCUUGUUGGCGGGGUGACGGCCCACCAAGGCAACGAUCAGUAGGGGUUCUGAGAGGAAGGUCCCCCACAUUGGAACUGAGACACGGUCCAAACUCCUACGGGAGGCAGCAGUGAGGAAUAUUGGUCAAUGGGCGAGAGCCUGAACCAGCCAAGUAGCGUGCAGGAUGACGGCCCUAUGGGUUGUAAACUGCUUUUAUAAGGGAAUAAAGUGGGUCACGUGUGACUUUUUGCAUGUACCUUAUGAAUAAGGACCGGCUAAUUCCGUG